UACGAGGGGUGCAAGCGUUGUUCGGAUUUACUGGGCGUAAAGCGUGCCUAGGUGGAUUUACAAGUCAGAUGUGAAAGCCCCCGGUUCAACCGGGGAAGGUCAUUUGAAACUGUAGAUCUUGAGUUCCGGGGAGGUGGGUGGAAUUCCUAGUGUAGAGGUGAAAUUCGUAGAGAUUAGGAGGAACACCGGAGGCGAAGGCGGCUCACUAAACGGACACUGACACUGCAGCACGAAAGCGUGGGUAGCAAACAGG
Molecule: ribosomal RNA, 253 nt
Filed under: uncultured bacterium
Lineage: Bacteria
Description: partial 16S ribosomal RNA
Rfam family: Bacterial small subunit ribosomal RNA
Source: RNAcentral